GCGCUUAUAGUAUAGAGGUAGAAUACUUCUCUUCCAAAGAAGUGGCCUGGGUUCGAUUCCCAGUGUGCGCA
RNAcentral lists this transfer RNA (71 nucleotides) under Entomophthora muscae. RNAcentral describes it as "tRNA-Gly". It matches the Rfam family "tRNA". Rfam says of the family: Transfer RNA (tRNA) molecules are approximately 80 nucleotides in length. Their secondary structure includes four short double-helical elements and three loops (D, anti-codon, and T loops). Lineage: Eukaryota; Fungi; Entomophthoromycota; Entomophthoromycetes; Entomophthorales; Entomophthoraceae. The record is from RNAcentral.